This is a long non-coding RNA of Prionailurus viverrinus (fishing cat), 1381 nucleotides long. RefSeq lists it as uncharacterized. The transcript has 7 exons. Lineage: Eukaryota; Metazoa; Chordata; Mammalia; Carnivora; Felidae. The record is from RefSeq and is a predicted model, not a curated record.
CCAGCUCCAGUAGGAGGCAAAGAGCUAGACAGGUUGGGAAGGGCUGUUUGUUUGCUCAGGGUAGGCAAGAGCAAAGAAGUGGGGGGAUUUCAGCUCGUACAGUAGCCUUGGCCUCCAGGGGUGGACUGUGGGUCUGGCCCAGAGACGACAGGCUGACUCCAGGGGGGUUUCUGGAGGGCACAUGGGCCCUGCCUGACUUCUGCCUUUGCUGGGGAGGUGAUCUCACUCUUCAGUGUCUCAUCUACGACACAGGCCACCUGCCUCCUAUUCCCUCAAUUUACAAAGCACUUUUGCAAACAAGAUUCCCUACAAAUGUGAGGGGAUGUGGAGGGUCGUAUCACGGAGAAAACGGCUUGGUGUUUGCGGAGGAUCUGGCUUUGAGAGUGGGCCCCGGCUCCGACCAGGCAUAUCGUUCUCUGUGCAGGAAUGCAGCUGUAAUGUCAUGAGAGUACUCCUGCAGUCGUAGAGAGAGGUCCAAACGCAGAGAACUGAGACCUGGUGGAGCCCUGCCGCCUCCAACCACAUGAGUGGCCAUCUUGGAACCGAAUCGUCUAGCUGCAGUCAGGCCAUUCAGGUGACGACAUGCCUUCUACCAUGUGACGGCAACCUCAUUAGAGACCUUGAGCCAGAACCAUCCAGCUGAGCCACUCCUAGAUUCCUAAUCCUCAAUACCACCAGAGUUGCAGCAAUGGAGGGUUGGAGAUGAAGAGAAUUUCCUGGGAUUAUAAAGGAGAUAAGUGGCAAAGCAAAGAUUGGAAUUCAAACCUCUGAAGUCUGGCUUCUGUGCUUUUUCCCUUUAUGGCACCUUGCUUCUCCGGAAUGAAAAUACGGAUAUGGUGAUUAAGAGCUUACCAGCUUGCGGGACUCAAAACACACAUACCUGAUGAAGACAUCAAGGCCUGGAGAUGAAAGAGAAUUUACUGGGAUUAAAAGGCGGUUCUUAGGACUGCUGGGCACGUGCUGGGAUCCCACCUUCCGGCUCCCCUGUUGGUUGGGCGGGACUGAAAGACGAAUUUUGGCCAAUUAUUUGUGAGAAGUCACAGGGCACCACUUGGGGACUGGAGCAUUUCAUGGCUUGCAGUGAGACCCCGUCUUUUGUCUGCCGUCUGAUGACCAGAAAUGCUCAAGAUAGGACUGCUUCGUGAACCCGAUCUGUGGAUGACUAUGUGUGUGACCCUGGACAAGUUACUCGUGGUGUCAACCUCAACAUCAAAAUAGGAAAGACCUCCUCCUUCCUUGAUGAUAAGGAAUUGUGACAUCUUUAGUAAAGAGCUUUGUAGGAUUUCAGGCAUAUGAAACGUAAAGGCAGGAGAGGUGCUCCAUCACGGGAAAGGCCAAUUUCCUGACACAUGGACUCAGAGUGUAACGGUCAAGUGAAUUU